AUGGACGCAUUACAGGCAAUUAUAGGUUGAACUCAUAGCAGAAGACCGUGUGUUUGUCACAUAGCCUAAUUGGAUUAUGCAUCCCUGGUUGAUACGGCAGUCGGAGGUUCCGGAUCUCGGACGAGAAAAUGUUUGGAUGAAGCCAUCGGUGUUGCUGACGUUGACUUCUUUCAUGGAUCAAUGAGCGAUAUGACCAAC
Molecule: small RNA, 198 nt
Filed under: Sinorhizobium meliloti 2011
Lineage: Bacteria; Pseudomonadati; Pseudomonadota; Alphaproteobacteria; Hyphomicrobiales; Rhizobiaceae
Description: putative ncRNA
Source: RNAcentral